Molecule: transfer RNA, 71 nt
Filed under: Marmota monax (woodchuck)
Lineage: Eukaryota; Metazoa; Chordata; Mammalia; Rodentia; Sciuridae
Description: tRNA.Thr
Source: RNAcentral
GUUUAUAGUUCAGUGGUAGAGCACUUGCCUAGUAUGUGUGAGGCCCUGGAUUCUAUCCCCAGCACUAAAUG